AAAAAGACAAGGAUAAGGAGUAUUAAGAACGGAGAUAGCAAAGAGAGUCAUCGGUUGGUGUAAGAUGAUGUAUGGAAGUUCCCAACUCGCCUUUGAGUCCCUUGAGUGAAGUACAGAUGUAGUUACAAUAGUAGGUCAGGGCGUUUCAUUCGCGUUAAGAAUGUCUGAGUGCGUAUUCUUUCGAAUACGAAUGAGAGUGGUACCACGGAGCAAUUUCCUUCGUCUCUUUA
Molecule: non-coding RNA, 230 nt
Filed under: Roseburia sp.
Lineage: Bacteria; Bacillati; Bacillota; Clostridia; Lachnospirales; Lachnospiraceae
Description: T-box sequence
Rfam family: T-box leader
About the family: Uncharged tRNA acts as the effector for transcription antitermination of genes in the T-box leader family.
Source: RNAcentral